This 441-nucleotide ribosomal RNA is filed under the name uncultured bacterium. RNAcentral's name for it is "partial 16S ribosomal RNA". It matches the Rfam family "Bacterial small subunit ribosomal RNA", at positions 338 to 795 of the family's 1533-position model. The record is from RNAcentral.
CCUACGGGAGGCAGCAGUCGGGAAUAUUGCGCAAUGGAGGAAACUCUGACGCAGUGACGCCGCGUGCAGGAAGAAGGUUCUCGGAUUGUAAACUGCUUUAGACAGGGAAGAAAAAAGACAGUACCUGUAGAAUAAGCUUCGGCUAACUACGUGCCAGCAGCCGCGGUAAUACGUAGGGAGCAGGCGUUAUCCGGAUUUAGUGGGUGUAAAGGGUGCGUAGGCGGAGAAUCAAGUUAGUUGUGAAAUCCCUCGGCUUAACUGAGGAACUGCAGCUAAAACUACUUCCCUUGAGUGCUGGAGAGGAAAGUGGAAUUCAUGGUGUAGCGGUGAAAUGCUUAGAUAUUAGGAGGAACGCCAGUGGCGAAGGCGACUUUCUGGACAGUAACUGACGUUGAGGCACGAAAGUGUGGGGAGCAAACAGGAUUAGAUACCCUUGUAGUC